Long non-coding RNA from Aedes albopictus (Asian tiger mosquito), 1048 nucleotides. RefSeq lists it as uncharacterized. The record is from RefSeq and is a predicted model, not a curated record. NCBI's taxonomy places the organism in Eukaryota, Metazoa, Arthropoda, Insecta, Diptera, Culicidae. The transcript has 3 exons.
GCAGGAGUUUUUCACUUUUAAAAUGUAUGAAGAAAGUUGCAAAAAAUGGAAUUUUGACUUAAUAAACGUUUUAUCAGAAAAAAUAUUUGGUACAGGUGGUAGCUAAUAAUAAUAGCUAACUGCGUUACCAAAUAUUUUUUGCCAAAAUGUCGAAAUAUUUGAAAAAAAUGAAAAAAUGUUCAAAUGCCCAUACAUUUUUUCGAUUGAAAACUUCUGCCUCGAAUCUGAUUGAUCGUCUUUUGCCUAUACAUGGACAUCAAGAAUAUACAUGGAUUCAUGGUUAUCAAUCUGUCAAAUGGAAACAAAACAAAGUAUCUUCCAAAACAAACAUGGAUCGGCAGCAAACGGAAAGGUGAAAAAAAUCUUUUUAAGCAAUAAUCAUCAUAAAUUUAUUAAAUUAUCUGCAUUUCAGGAGUGUGAAAAGUGUUAAACGGUGUGUUCCGAAACAGCAUGUCUCCACCAGGCCACGUAAUCAUCGUUGGAUGCAGGAAAAUGUUCGCCCUGACGGUGGCGAUGCUUGGUGGCGUGGACGACGUUCUCGCUAGAGCUGCAAUCUCAGAAAUACGAAAAGGUCGGUCUUCUGAAGAGUUACCAAAAAGUCAGCAAUAUCAAUGCUAACGUCUGGUCGAGCCGGAAGUGUUCCUGGGUCCGUUUAUCGAAACCACCCACACGGUGUCCAAAAACACCCUCUCUGCAACUUAUUCGAUCUACAGUUAGUACACCCCCUGCCGAUGGAUGCGCUUCCCGUGUGUGGUGUUUAGGUCAAGACGGGCGAGAAGUCGAUUUGUAGCAGCGUCGAUUGGAUUGUACAAGGAUUGGGCUAGCUGGAGCCGGAACAGAACGCGAGAAACCAACAACAGAACUAAGGUAGUGAUAAGUUUCUUCUGGCAAUCACGGCUGUUCAACAAAUAUCAUUCCGGUUACCACAUGGCGAACACCAUUACAGACACCUCCGUUCUGGUCACCAUCCCAUCAACAUUAUAAAAUGUAAUAAUUUUUAUUUUACUAAUUCUCUUUGUAUUUGUUUUUUUAGUAUUAAAAAGCAUGU